GCAUUGGUGGUUAAGUGGUAGAAUGCUUGCCCGCCACGCGGGCGACCCGGUUCGAUUCCCGGCCAAUGGA
Molecule: non-coding RNA, 70 nt
Organism: Angiostrongylus cantonensis (rat lungworm)
Lineage: Eukaryota; Metazoa; Nematoda; Chromadorea; Rhabditida; Metastrongylidae
Source: Rfam